This 560-nucleotide ribosomal RNA is filed under the name Geotrichum klebahnii. RNAcentral describes it as "eukaryotic LSU rRNA". It matches the Rfam family "Eukaryotic large subunit ribosomal RNA", at positions 68 to 664 of the family's 3401-position model. Lineage: Eukaryota; Fungi; Ascomycota; Dipodascomycetes; Dipodascales; Dipodascaceae. The record is from RNAcentral.
ACACAGGUAUGCUUAGUACGGCGAGUGAGCGGCAAAAGCUCAAAUUUGAAAUCGGCCUCCAGGUCGAGUUGUAAUUUGUAGAUUGUAUUUUUGAUUUGGUUUAAGUCUGGUGGAACCCCGCGCCCUUAAAGGUGAGAGCCCCGUAAAACCUAUUCAAUUGUGAAAUACUUUCAAAAAGACUAGUUUUUUGGGAAUGCGCCUCUCAAUGGGAGGUGAAUUCCUUCUCAAACUAAAAAUUGUGGAGAGACCGAUAUCGAACAAGUACAGUGAUGGAAAGAUAAAAAGAACUUUGAAAAGAGAGUGUGAAAGUAUAUGUGAUUGUGUAAAGGGAGAGGUAUAAAAUAACACAUGUGUGUUGUGUUUACCUUUGUGUCGCCGCAGUGUACUCUCAACAUCUAUGCCCAGGUGUGAUAUGUGGGCAGGAAAAAGCUUGAGGAAAGUGGCUCUUCUCAGUGUUAUAUCCUUUUGUAAUACUGCCUCUCCUGUCUCACGACUGCGCAUUUUGCUAGGAUCUUGGCGUAAUGAUUUUGUACCGCCCGUCUUUGAAACGGGAACACAAA